AGUGGACUGCCCAAUCCAAGUAAAAAGCUUGUUCGGAUUUUCUAAGAGGCAAACCCUCUCUCAAAGCAGCCUCAUCGAUUUGGAUAACAGUGAUGCCAUUCUUCUCAAGAUCCUCCACUUCAUCCUUAAUGGCCAAAGCAAUCUGGUAGCAGGUCUCAAAUCUGAAAAAAGGAAAACGAAUCACUUAUUGAAACUAUGAAAUAUAAAAUGACAUUUUCCCUAUCUUGCUCCUUUUAUUUUCAAUACCUAGGUUGGUCAUUUCGGACAAAGGACCAGUUGAGUAUGGUGACAGGGCCUGUAAGCAUUCCUUUCAUUGGGCGGGAAGUCAUGCUCUGAGCCAAAGCGGACCAGAAGACAGUCAUCGACUUAGGGCGACUCACAUCACCAUAGAUGAUUGGUGGCUUCACACAGCGAGAACCAUAAGAUUGCACCCAACCAUUGGCAGAGAACACAAAACCUGACAAUUGCUCUCCGAAGUAUUCGACCAUAUCAUUUCUCUACAAUAAUGAAUGACCACACAAGUUGGAUGUGUACAGGAUUAGUAAAUUAAUAUACAAGUAAACUCUAAAAAAAAAGAGUUUUCUGUAAACAAAUAAUGUUCCCUAGAUUUUUAUAUUGUAUGAGUGUGUGAGCGUAAAAAACUAAUUUGAUGGGGAGAAAAUCACCUCAGGCUCUCCAUGAACCAAAACAUCAAUAUCAAAUUCCUCUUGAAGUUUGACAACUUUGCUAAUUUCCUUCUUGAUGGCUUCAACAUAAUCAACUUCAGAG
RNAcentral lists this long non-coding RNA (768 nucleotides) under Populus trichocarpa (black cottonwood). Its description in RNAcentral is "long non-coding RNA (PTRI_LNC003048)". Lineage: Eukaryota; Viridiplantae; Streptophyta; Magnoliopsida; Malpighiales; Salicaceae. The record is from RNAcentral.